UUCCCGUCCCAUUGUCGUUCAUAUCAACCGAAAACGCGAUUGCUGCUGUUGUAUAUGUUUGUGUACAAUGCGCUCUCUGACUCCGCUAGUUGUGUGGGCGCUGUUCGCGGCUAACGGCGGCACACGUGUUUUUCGUUUUCCUAUUCAUGCAGAGAGACGCUCGUCGUUCGGCAUAAUUGGACACGGGCAGAUGGCGAACCCAUUGAAUGCAUUAAUCUUGCACGUACAACAAAUCCGAAACGUCGUACGGAUAUUUAGCGAAUAAUCGAUCAUAAAACCGUGUAAGUAUACUUACGGGAAACACGUUCCGAACGAAAAAUACGUGUUUCGCGGUCAUGGUGAUCGGGAAACAACACAUCUAGAAAAUGCACAGAACUCCGGCCUUAGAAGGAAAUUUGCUGCUGUUCAAAGGAUGCUGGAAGGUGAAUUUUUUAACAUGGCUUUCUGUUUAUAAGACAAUUUCAAGUUUUGUGAAAUAAACGAAAAAAUCGAGUAUCUGAAAAUUGGUCUACACAAAUAGCAUGGAUCAAUAUUGUUGAAAAUAAUAAAAACACUAUGUAUAUGACUUUAGAACAAAAUAUGUACGUUUGAAAGGUUCGACGUCCUACAAUGUAACGUUGGUGCUGGUGACGCAUUGCGUUAUAUUGUUAUAGCAUCACGGCCGAUAAACGUUUUAUGGUGCGAAUGGCGUUUAUUACUGCACAUUUCGGGAUUUCGAAUACCUAGUUCACCGUUUUGACGAUUCAAAUAGCACGCAAACGGAUCUCGGGCCACCCCGUUCCGUCGUUAUCGCGAUCGUGAACUUUUGGUAAAUUAAAAUACGAUUUUACAAUAAUAACAACUAACAAUGUCUCCGCGACCGUUUACGUAAUAUUAUUUUGACAUGGUAAGAACUCGCGUGACGGCUGCAGCUGUACGUGACGCUGUGCGCUUGGCGAUGACAUCAAAGACUCGGCGGCGCAGAGACGGUGGCGCAAGGACCGGAUUUAUCUUUAAAUAUAUAUAAAAACACACACGCGCGCACAUUACGUUAUUAUCGUUCCCGUCGUAAUUACGAAAAACUUCCGGUUCGCGAGCGCAGUCCUUUGUGUAGAAUUCAAUUACGGUUUUAUUAUACGCCUAUGUGUACAGUGGAGUUUGAGUGUGUGUGUGUGUUGUGUGCAGAUGUUUUGAUCAACUGACGAUCGCGGUUUCGGCUACUCGUAGUCGGUCUACAGCAAGUGAUAAGAAAAUAACAGACGAAUUAUUGUUUAAACGUGGUUUCAGUGAUCCGCAGAGUGGCGAAAGGGUGACCAGAAAGGAAAUUAAUAAUGAUUCGAUGAACUCAACAUCUCUGGAUCUCUAUGGUGUACCAGUUGGUUUUUUCCCUCGCGUAAAGAUUUUUCCCGAAAACAUAAUUGUAUCGAAAUGUAUCGAUGAUGCACUGAAGCAGUUUUAUUACGUUUUUAAACUCAUUAAUCUUUGGCGGUUCGUGGAGGAAAGAUGCUGCCAAUUUAGUGAAUACAGGAUUUGCCGUGUAGAAUUUCUCGUCCGAGCAAAGGCCAAUAGUAUUCAACGCGUGCAUCGAAUAACACCGCGCAUGAAAGUAUAUGUUCUGGAUUUUGUUGCAUCUAAAGCUGUGUCGAAAACGAAUAAUAUUUUUUUUAUCGAAAUCCAGUACUUUCCAUAAAACAGCUAAAUCACGAAAAUGAAACUGUAGAUAAGCGUUAUUCUAUAUUUUGAACGAUGUCAUGGGAAACGUGUUUAACUAAUUGUUUAACUACGCUAAUUAGUUAUUUAUACUUAAGGGUGUAAUGAUUAAUUAUACGUCUAUACAGCAUGUCUGUAUGCACCCAUAUCCAAUCGUAUUGUUUCAAGUACUACACUAUGGUAAAGUUUUGUCCCAGAUUUCACGUAUGAUUUAUUAUGACUGUAAACUAAUUAUAGUUGGGUCUGGUAUUUUUAUAUCAACGUAAUUUUAUCAAACGUUUUACUUAUGUAAAUGUAUUAACGAUUUUAAUUUUUAUCACUCACAUUCACGAUACAUUUUUUGAACUUUUAAACCUACUAAUAAAUAACUGUGCUUAACUUUGUGUGAGUACUUUUAUUUAUAUAAUUUAUAUGAAUUUUUAUUAUUGAGGAUAAUUUUUUUGCACUCUGUGUGCAACAGUAAACAAAUCGAUUAAUCAAAUUCAUCAUAAUAAUUGUUGUAACGUUGAGUUCUCAUCUAAAUUUAUAUUUUAACAAAAUAAACGGUGUUUAUAAAUAUUUAUUACAUUCCCAGAAAUGAUUCCAAAAACCACAAUGUUAAUGGUAUUUUUAAUUUGGAAUUUUAUGUAUUUUCAUGCUUUUUGUUAUAAUAGUUUCUCAUGAUAGCUGCUUAUAGAAAAUGAGUACGCUGACCAAAAUCAAACUGUUUCAAUAAACGAAUUAGCAAAACGAAUCAAGAUUAUGAAGUUUUUUUUAUAUUAUAGUAUGUACUAUACAUUUAUUUCAAUUUUAAUUUAAAGUUUUGAGAGUCAGUGAAUUAUUUUUUUGAUUUUUGAAUUUUUUUUCUAAUUCUAUUUAAAUAACGACACAAGAUAGUGAGUGACUGAAAUUAUAAACAUGUUUUGAUCGGAUAUGGGUUGACAGGCUAUAAUAAAGAAUUUAUUUUUGAGUUGUGUCACGGUCAUAUUUAAGUUAAUAGUUAAA
Sipha flava (yellow sugarcane aphid) is the source of this 2673-nucleotide long non-coding RNA. RefSeq lists it as uncharacterized. NCBI's taxonomy places the organism in Eukaryota, Metazoa, Arthropoda, Insecta, Hemiptera, Aphididae. The transcript has 3 exons. The record is from RefSeq and is a predicted model, not a curated record.